AAUCCAGCAAGAAAACAGACAAAUCAGAGAAUUACAACAAGAGAACAAAGAACUGCGCACAUCCUUGGAAGAGCACCAGUCUGCCUUGGAACUGAUAAUGAGCAAGUAUCGAGAGCAGAUGUUCAGAUUGCUAAUGGCCAGCAAGAAGGACGACCCGGGCAUAAUAAUGAAGUUAAAGGAGCAGCACUCAAAGGUAAUCGAUCCAUUCUAGGAAAUUGACUUGGAAUGAAAACAGGGACUAUUGGUUAACCUAUGUUCAGAUUUUAAUGAAAAUCUAGUAAUACUGUUUCAGUGUAUAUAAAAUACCUCACAUUUUUAAUUGACAUUUUCUAUCAUCAUCAUCAUCCUCCCAUCUCUU
RNAcentral lists this long non-coding RNA (358 nucleotides) under Rattus norvegicus (Norway rat). Its description in RNAcentral is "long non-coding RNA NONRATT021042". The record is from RNAcentral. Lineage: Eukaryota; Metazoa; Chordata; Mammalia; Rodentia; Muridae.